This 907-nucleotide ribosomal RNA is filed under the name fungal sp. Its description in RNAcentral is "eukaryotic LSU rRNA". Lineage: Eukaryota; Fungi. The record is from RNAcentral.
UUGGAAGUAAAAAAKCGUAACAAGGUUUCGCAAGAACAGUGUCCUUCCCGGUCCUGUGGAAGCCUAUGCAACCGAAAGGGUCCGCGACUAUAAACACCGGAUGCAAGUCGCGCAGCGGCAACAUGAUCGAAUUGCGGGGACGUCCUAAAGCCUGCAGUACCAACGCCUGGGGGAAACCCCCGACGGGCCUGUGCUAAUCACACAGGAGGUUAAAAUCUGCCAGGAUGCACAAUGGAUAAUCCGCAGCGAAGCCCCUACCGGCGCGAGCCCAUGGGGAACGUUCACAGACUAAGUGGUUGUGGGUAGGCUUGUCCUGCUUAAGAUAUAGUCGGGCUCCGGGGAAACUCAGGAGGCUAACCGUUCCGUAGGUGAACCUGCGGAAGGAUCAUUACAGAGUUCAUGCCCUUCGGGGUAGAUCUCCCACCCUUGUGUAAUAUUAUCGAAUGUUGCUUUGGCGGGCCGCAAGCCUGGCUUGCCCGGAUUCGCGUCCGGCGUGCCCGCCAGAGGACCCCUAAAACUCUGAAUGUUAGUGUCGUCUGAGUACUAUUAAAUAGUUAAAACUUUCAACAACGGAUCUCUUGGUUCUGGCAUCGAUGAAGAACGCAGCGAAAUGCGAUAAGUAAUGUGAAUUGCAGAAUUCAGUGAAUCAUCGAAUCUUUGAACGCACAUUGCGCCCCUUGGUAUUCCGGGGGGCAUGCCUGUUCGAGCGUCAUUAAUACCAAUCUAGCCCGGCUAGGUGUUGGGCCUCGCCGUCUGGCGGGCCUUAAAAUCAGUGGCGGUGCUCCUCAGCUCUACGCGUAGUAAUUCUUCUCGCUACAGGGUCUGUGGAGAUACUUGCCAGCAACCCCAAAUUUUUUUCAGGUGACCUCGGAUCAGGUAGGGAUACCCGCUGAACUUAAGCAUAUCA